Molecule: long non-coding RNA, 1626 nt
Filed under: Canis lupus familiaris (dog)
Lineage: Eukaryota; Metazoa; Chordata; Mammalia; Carnivora; Canidae
Description: lncRNA (ENSCAFG00030025005.1)
Source: RNAcentral
GCUGUAGAUUUGGGGAAGAUAAAUGUUGUCAAGUUAAGGAAGUUUACUUCUAUUCCUAAUUUACUAAAAAUUGUUGGGUUUUGUGUGUUUAAUGAGGAAUGGAGCUGAGUUAUAUUAAAUAUUAUUUUUUUAAGAUUUUAUUUAUUUAUUCAUGAGAGACACAGAGAGAGGCAGAGAUAUAGACAGAGGGAGAAGCAGGCUCCCUGUGGGGAGCCCGAUGCGGGACACAAUCCUAGGAUCCCGGGAUCAUGACCUGAACCAAAGGCAGACACUCAACCACUGAGCCACCCAGGCAUCCCUAAAUGUUCUUUUUUGAGGUGAGGACUGUUGAGGUUGAUUUUUUUCCUCUGUUAAUCUGAUAACUUGUAGACAAUUAAUCAUCUUUGCAUUCCUGAGAUAAAUCCUAAUUAGACAUAAUGCAUUUAUUUUUUAAUACAUCAGUGGACUUGAUUUAUGACUAUAUUAUUUAAAUUUUUGAAUCUUCCAUGAAUGACAUUGGCCUAAAUCUAAAAGCAUGCGACCCUUGUCUAAAUUUGGUUUCAGCCUUGUAGGUUAAGUGAGGAAGCUUUAUUUAGCUCAUUCUCUAUGUUCUGGAGCAUUUUAUCUAACAAAAGAAACAGUUAUUCCUUAAGGCUUGAUAGAAUUAACCUGUAAAAAAAACCAAAAAACUAGUCUUGAUGCUUUCUCAGAGGACGACUUCUUCCCACUUUUUCUUUAAAAAAAGAUUUGAUUUAUUUAUUUGAGAGAAAGAGAGAGAAAGCAUGAACAAGGAGGGGGAAGGGCAGAGGUACAAAUAGACUCUUCCCUGUGAGCAGCCCAGUGUGGGGCUUGAUCCCAGGACCUUGAGAUCACGAUCUGAGCCAAAGUCAGACACUUAACCAACUUAACCCAGGUGCCCCAACUUCUUCCCACUUUUAAAAUUCUCUUAUUUUUUGGAAUAUUAAACUGUUUAUCUUGUGAAAUAGAUUUUACUAAGUUACACUUUCCUAGAAAAUCUUCCACUGAGUUUAGAUUUUCAAUUUUUUGGUAUAUAAAUACAACUUUAAACCUUUUCCAGGGAUCCCUGGGUGGCGCAGCGGUUUGGCGCCUGCCUUUGGCCCAGGGCACGAUCCUGGAGACCCGGGAUCGAAUCCCACAUCGGGCUCCCGGUGCAUGGAGCCUGCUUCUCCCUCUGCCUAUGUCUCUGCCUCUCUCUCUCUCUCUCUCUGUGACUAUCUAAAUAAAAAAAAAAAAAAAAAGAGAGAGAGAGAGAACAUGUGAGGGUGGGGGGGCGGGGGGCGAGGCAGAGGAAGAGGGAGAGAGGGAAGCUCAAGCAGGCUCCUUGUUCAGUUCAGAGCCCAACGCAGGGCUUGAUCUCAAGACCCUAGACCAUGACCUGAGCCAAAAUCAAGGGCCUAGACACUUAACCAAGUCACCCAAGUGCCCCAAUGUUUAUUAUUUUCUAAACAAUGCAAUAAAGGCUCUAAAAUUUCUUUCAAAUAUCACUUUGUUAGAAUCCUCUAGAUUUGGGUAAUAUUUUGUGUUUAUUGGUUUCUAUUUCUAAAUACUCUGUGAUUUGAUACAAUAGUAUUAAAGAUGUUUUAUUUUCUCCACACAGAGAAAUUUGGGUGGGAGGUAUCCUUUAAC